Rhododendron vialii is the source of this 818-nucleotide long non-coding RNA. RefSeq lists it as uncharacterized. The transcript has 3 exons. The record is from RefSeq and is a predicted model, not a curated record. Lineage: Eukaryota; Viridiplantae; Streptophyta; Magnoliopsida; Ericales; Ericaceae.
GAGGAGUGGACUCCGUCAUUUUACCAAUACAUGAUAUGCACUUUUGAAAUCACCACCCUCAUGGCAUGGCCGAAACUAUUUACCAAGACAUGGUAAGAGUAUGUUAGUUUACAAUUUUACCCCCUGAUAUAACUCUUCAAGGCCUAAUCCACCAUUUCAGCGUUUCCUUUCUCUCUCUAACAGGUAUUUCCCCAGGCCAACCCCUAUCUCUCCUAUCUCUCUCUCUCUCUCUCUCUCUCUGCGCGAUCACAAAUAUCCAGUCAACUCUCGCUAGAAAUUAAGACAUAAACCUCUAUCGUCAAAAGGUUGGGCCGAUUUUCAAAGCAUAUACCGCAAUGAACCCUGAAUAUUUAAGACUGAAGAGAUCACUGGUAUCAUGAAAGAUUUCAAUGAACCUGGCUUUCUUGCUCCCACUGGACUACACCUUGGUGGCACAAAGUACAUGGUUAUCUAAGGCGAGGCCGGUGCUAUGAUCCGUGGGAAGAAGGUCGAUUGGUUGGAAGAGAAGAUUGAUACGUCGUCACUUUUUGCUGAAGAUGGAGAUAUAUUAUCUAAUGUUGGUUGGAAUUUGAUUGAAGUUUUUGCUCUACUAACUCAUUUUUGUAUCAAGACAUGUAUACCUAGGCAACUUAGUUUUGGGAGAUUUAAAUGUGGAUAUGAUUUCUUUGCAAAUGUGUUAGCAUGUGGAGGAUAGCUAGCUACUAUAUUUUGUACUCAAGUACUGAGAUUGGAUGAUACAAGUCUGUAUUAGUUUUCUAAGGAGAAAUGUGUGAAUAGAGUGGUAUGAAAAAAAAAAAAAAAAACAAGAUAUUGAUGAU